This 253-nucleotide ribosomal RNA is filed under the name uncultured bacterium. RNAcentral describes it as "partial 16S ribosomal RNA". It matches the Rfam family "Bacterial small subunit ribosomal RNA", at positions 524 to 776 of the family's 1533-position model. The record is from RNAcentral.
UACGUAGGGUGCGAGCGUUAAUCGGAAUUACUGGGCGUAAAGCGUGCGCAGGCGGUUGUGCAAGACAGAGGUGAAAUCCCCGGGCUUAACCUGGGAACUGCCUUUGUGACUGCACGGCUAGAGUGUGUCAGAGGGGGGUAGAAUUCCACGUGUAGCGGUGAAAUGCGUAGAGAUGUGGAGGAAUACCGAUGGCGAAGGCAGCCCCCUGGGAUAACACUGACGCUCAUGCACGAAAGCGUGGGGAGCAAACAGG